GAUGAACGCUGGCGGCGUGCCUAACACAUGCAAGUCGAGCGUGAACCGUCUGAAUGAAACUUCGGUCGAGUGAGGAUGGGGAAAGCGGCGGACGGGUGAGUAACGCGUAGGCAACCUGCCCCGUACAGAGGGAUAGCCUCGGGAAACCGGGAUUAAGACCUCAUAAUACCAUUAUCUCACAUGUGAUAAUGGUCAAAGAUUUUAUCGGUAUGGGAUGGGCCUGCGUCUGAUUAGCUGGUUGGUGGGGUAACGGCUCACCAAGGCGACGAUCAGUAGCCGACCUGAGAGGGUAAUCGGCCACAUUGGAACUGAGACACGGUCCAAACUCCUACGGGAGGCAGCAGUGGGGAAUAUUGCACAAUGGGCGAAAGCCUGAUGCAGCAACGCCGCGUGAGCGAGGAAGGCCUUUGGGUCGUAAAGCUCUGUCGAGGAGGAAGAUAAUGACGGUACUCCUCGAGGAAGCCCCGGCUAACUACGUGCCAGCAGCCGCGGUAAAACGUA
RNAcentral lists this ribosomal RNA (501 nucleotides) under uncultured bacterium. RNAcentral's name for it is "bacterial SSU rRNA". It matches the Rfam family "Bacterial small subunit ribosomal RNA", at positions 28 to 529 of the family's 1533-position model. The record is from RNAcentral.